Long non-coding RNA from Engraulis encrasicolus (European anchovy), 1219 nucleotides. RefSeq lists it as uncharacterized. The record is from RefSeq and is a predicted model, not a curated record. The transcript has 4 exons. Lineage: Eukaryota; Metazoa; Chordata; Actinopteri; Clupeiformes; Engraulidae.
CACUUCAGGGGUGCAUGGCGCCUCAGUGUUGUGUGCCCAAAUGUGCGUCCUCAAAGAGAAAAAAUCCUACCGUGGACAGACUUUCCACCGUUUCCCCAAAGAGCAGGCACUUCGCCGUGAAUGGAUAAAUCACGUCAAAAGGGAUCCUGGUCCAUAAUUCAAGAUCAACGCUGAGACCAAGGUUUGCUCUGAGCACUUUGAGAAGCAGUGUUUUGUAAAGACCGCCCGUGGUAUCACAGAGCUUAUAAAGGAUGCUGUGGCAACUUUGUUCGCCUGGACUUCAGAGAGGCCAAAGAGGAGAAUCAUCAUUCGCAGACCGAGUACGGAUUCCAUGGAGGUGGAUGAAAACCAGCCUGAUGUGAGAAGGGAUGCCUUGAGCACAGAUGUACCUCCUCCACAGCCAUACCAUGAUUAUGCUGUUCCACCGCUGACACCAGAGGGACAACUUGAGGCGGCACGCAAGCACAUCAUAGAGCAAGACAAGUUAAUAGCACAACUUAAAGGGACACUGUGUGAGAUUUUUAUUUGUUUAUUUCCAGAAUGCAUGCUGCCCAUUCACUAAUGUUAACUUUUUCAUGAAUACUUACCACCAGCAUCAAAUUCUAAGUAUUCAUUAUGACUAAAAUUGCACUUUUCAUACAUUAAAAGGGGGAUCUUCUCCAUGGUCCGUCAUUUUGAAUUUCCAAAAAUAGCCAUUUUUAGCUGCAAAAAUGACUGUACUUGGACCAUAUUUGAAAAUAUUUGUUUAUUACUUUCAUGUAAAGAUCAAAUUUGGCAAUAGGCAGCCCAGUUUCAAUGUGCAGCAUAGUUGCAGUACCUUUUUUUGACCAUUUCCUGCACAGUGUCCCUUUAAAGAUAAAGUGUUCAGUGUGUCAAGAUUCCAGUGAUGAUAGUCAGAUGUCAUUUUACACAGGAUUCCCAGACUAUGCCACCUUUAAAGCUGUAUAUAUGGCUCUACAGCCCACAGCCACAAGCAUAGUUGGAUGGAGUCAGGCUCAAAGGCUUAAACAAACAGGGGUACAGGUCAUUAGACAGGCAUUUAAUAUCCCCAAACUAGCAACUAUGGACCAGUUAUUUCUCUCUCUUUCGCCUCAGACAGGGUUUUGCUGAGCAGGACCUUGCGGUGCGCGUUGGUGUGUCACAGUCAACUGUGAGCAGAAUCUGUGUCACCUGGACUAACUAUCUAUACAUUUUAGGAUCUCUCCCCAUUUGGCCUUCA